GAACCAUCGAACACCCAAAUUUCGCCAGCGCCAUUUUAUGGAAUAUUAGCGGCAGAUUUGAGGCGAGAUGUUUCAACGUGUUUUUCAGUAAAAUGGAUGCAUUCUUCAAAGGAAUGACUGAACAGCCAUACAGAUCAAUUAUCCUCAAGACAAUCACCAUUCGCCAACCCACCUGCAGCUGUUAGAUGUAUCUACCCAGGCACCAAACCUUCUCAACUGUCCAUCGACUGUCAGGUAUCAUGCCAGUCACAGGAACCAAAGACCCAGGACUCUAUAACCCAGCACCACCCUGGCAGCUUAGACCAGCAUGAUUUGAAAACAACAGGAUGACUACCCACUCAUUUACAUCUAGACACUCUACUUCUGUCAAGGAAAGUUCUACUGCCUGAAACGCAGCCAACGUCGCUACAACAUGCUGCCCACUGAACUGUAAGCUACUGCCAUAGGAUCUGAUGGGCUAUCCAGUUUUAGUCACAGGAAAUCUUAGACCUGCGCCAUUCACAGCCGCUGACUCCUGAAACCCAACAAGGAAGCAGUCUGAGAUGCACUGGAGAUCUCUCUUUUCCGGGUUGCCAUUCAACGAAAACGAUACCACUUCAUAGGUGCUCCCUGUCUGCAUUGACUGGAUGGAAUGUGUGAGCUACAGGUAGACCAGCACCAGCAGGAGUCUGCAGGACUUGCUUUAGAAUGACUUCCUCCUCAACAAAUCUCUCCUGCUGGACACAAAACUUGUCUUCAGAGACUGCUCUUAUCUUCAACUGGACAAACACUGAUUCUAAGUAUACAUGCAGCUCACAUUGAGCCAUAUAUGAACGUACCUCGCAAGUCACAUUUCCAAAAAUGUUUGGAAAACUGUUGAAAAUAUGAUGGGAGAUACAUAAACAAUUCAUGAGAUCUGAUCAUGAGAUCUUCAAAAAUUGAUUCAAAAUGACUGUUGGAAUCUGUCAGGAACUUUUGAAACAGCACUCCAAGCUUUGAAAACGGAACUCUUUUGAAAAAGGAACUCUCUUGAAGUGAACGACCAUUUUAUGUGAAAGAAGUAGAGGUCUCUCUCUCCAUGAGGUCACUGGAGGUCAUUACAGUUAACCUCUGUGACCUGAGUUGCCUAGGGUAACCACAGUUUGACAGAAGUCAAAACUCUUGAAAGGAAAUUGAAAAAAAUCUUCAAUCACAGUAUUCCAUAAUGAAUCCACUGUCACCUAUUGACACAGUUUGGGACAAGAUCCCCUGAAUUUUUCUUCUGCAAGAAAUUUAUAUUGUGAUCCAAAAUCCUUCUAAACAAAGUGUUUGUUCUUUGUGGAUCCACCGUUGAUGUCACUUAUUGCUGAGAUCAAAUUGAACCGCAAAAUGGACGAGAGGCCUCUACAUGUUACACGUAACCAGCUUCUCAUUGCAAAACUUUCGGGCCAUAAAAAUGUUUUGGGUUUUUGGUGUUUUUUUUGUGAAUUGAUUUCCUUGAUUUCAUUCAGUGGCGCCACUUAUACUUGCCUGAAACUACAGCUUAUCACCAAAGCAGUCAAUAAGCAGAGCCACUUUACUUACAGCGCGGCAUUCCUUUUUCCUCACCUCGAUUUUCCAAGAGCAUUUGCAAAAGAACUAAAAUGUACGUAAUCUUUAAGACAGAUUUACGCAACAUUUACUCAAACUGAGGAAAACAUUCCCUCUCAAAAAUUUGGAUAAUGCAGCUUUAUGCUUAUAACAGAGAGAGCUGGUUACGUUAAAUUGAUAUUUUUAUCUGAAAUAUUUGUUUAUGGCAUUGCCUGAUUGGUAGUAGCUAGGUGCAAGGUUGGUUUUGCUGGAACAAAACUUGACGCACAAAUGCAAACACAUCUCUUUGAACCAAAUUUUUCUAUAAUUAACACAUUGAGCCCAAAAUCUCUCUUUUGGACUAACAUUUGGUUCGCAUUAAAAUCAAAAGCUGUUUGAGAUUUAAAAAGUCUGGAUUUCCUGACAACAAAAGCGGGAAUUCUCUGUUAACUUUAAAAUGCCCAACGUUGCAAACGAGUACAAAAAUCAGCUUUCCGUUAAAUCUCCAAAUCUGUUUCAACCUCUGCAAUGGGUUUUCGAUAGCUUUGAUGCAUUUCCCAGUUGAUCAUAAUUUAGCAGCUACUGUCAGCAGCAAUACCAAUCUUGUACCCAGCUUUUGUUUUAUUAAGUAUGGUCAGCACUGGUCAAAUGUGUAAAGGCAGCGUUUGGCUUUGAAUGAAACAUAUUGGCUUUAAUAUCACAUUUUCCAAAUUCAUCAAAAUUGAGAAAACCCCAAGUUUUCCAUUUCAAACUAAAAACAAAACUUGUAAAAAUCACAAAAUCGCUGUUAUUUGACAGUGUAUUACAGGCAGGUGUUUUUGUGUACACACCUAUGUUGAAUACUUUGAAAAAGCAGUCUUUGUUGGUUCAUUUGACAGGCAAUUUGAAUAACACAUUAAUGUAAAUGAUCAAAACAUUAUCCUAACUUUAAAAAAGAACAGAAAAAAAUUAUGCUUCCAGUGCUGGCUAUACAAUGUAAAUUCUUUUAUGAUAAUUUGUUGAGUAACCCAUAUAUACUUGACAUUUGACCAACAGGCAAUGUUCUGAUA
Long non-coding RNA from Patiria miniata (bat star), 2576 nucleotides. RefSeq lists it as uncharacterized. The transcript is spliced from 3 exons. The record is from RefSeq and is a predicted model, not a curated record. NCBI's taxonomy places the organism in Eukaryota, Metazoa, Echinodermata, Asteroidea, Valvatida, Asterinidae.